This 492-nucleotide ribosomal RNA is filed under the name uncultured bacterium. RNAcentral describes it as "partial 16S ribosomal RNA". It matches the Rfam family "Bacterial small subunit ribosomal RNA", at positions 29 to 507 of the family's 1533-position model. The record is from RNAcentral.
AGUGAACGCUGGCGGUAGGCCUAACACAUGCAAGUCGAACGGCAGCACAGUAAGAGCUUGCUCUUACGGGUGGCGAGUGGCGGACGGGUGAGGAAUACAUCGGAAUCUACUUUUUCGUGGGGGAUAACGUAGGGAAACUUACGCUAAUACCGCAUACGACCUACGGGUGAAAGCAGGGGAUCUUCGGACCUUGCGCGAUUGAAUGAGCCGAUGUCGGAUUAGCUAGUUGGCGGGGUAAAGGCCCACUAAGGCGACGAUCCGUAGCUGGUCUGAGAGGAUGAUCAGCCACACUGGAACUGAGACACGGCCCAGACUCCUACGGGAGGCAGCAGUGGGGAAUAUUGGACAAUGGGCGCAAGCCUGAUCCAGCCAUACCGCGUGGGUGAAGAAGGCCUUCGGGUUGUAAAGCCCUUUUGUUGGGAAAGAAAAGCAGCAGGUUAAUACCCCGCUGUUCUGACGGUACCCAAAGAAUAAGCACCGGCUAACUUCGUG